Molecule: long non-coding RNA, 14179 nt
Filed under: Eucalyptus grandis
Lineage: Eukaryota; Viridiplantae; Streptophyta; Magnoliopsida; Myrtales; Myrtaceae
Description: long non-coding RNA (EGRA_LNC003300)
Source: RNAcentral
GAGAAUCACCAAACAUCUCUUAGUUUGCCAGAUACAUUUUCUAGAAAAGAAAAUAGACCAAUUGCGGAAGUACGAGAAGCCAUAUACUACAAGGCGAUCGUUUAACAGAGGUAUUGACAGACUAAAUAUAGCUAUGGAAUCAAAAAUCACAACUUCAAGUUCUUGAUAUUAGCCAAAAUGAAGACAGAGCAACCUAGGUCAAUUUAACACCUGUAGGUCGAAACUUAUAAACACAUGCUGCUCUGGUUUCACUUCCUUCACACUUUGACACGUACAGAAGCAGUCGCCAUAGACAGUUGCUUUCUCAAAACUUGUUGACAGCCAAGCCAACAUCUAACAGGAGCAGAGAAAAAUGAUUAUGUGAUUGAUGGCAGGGCUAUUGUAGGACACACCUGAAGGUGAGAUUGAUUCGAAUAGACAUCGGUUUUGCUCGCUUUGGCACCGAGUGAAGCCAAUCCCGCUGAGUGUAGCCUUUCAUUACGAGGAGCGAUCCAUGUUUUAGUACGAAAGAGUGCUGAUCGGGGUCAUGGCUCUUCCUUAGUCGCUUGCUCUUCGGCUCAUCACCAGAUGCUUAAACCCAAAAUGGAUUUUUUUUUUUUUUUUUUGUAAGCAAAAACAGAAGUAAGAUAGGAAAAGAAGGCAGUCAACUUUAAAAUCAACAACCAUUGAACAGAGCAAAAUCAAAAUACAUAACAAAGUACAAUUUUAAAAUGAAUAUCGAAAAUGAAUAUUUAGCAUUUCCAACAAAAUGAAAAAGCCAGUGUAGUUUGAGCGUGACUACUUGCAUAAACCAAAGAUGUGCUUGAGUUAUACCUGGAGACAUUUUACUGGGUUUUUUCUUUAGCAAAAAUUCACGUUCGCAUCCAAACGUAACUGAGGCGAUUUCUGGGGUGGGUCCAUAGAGCACCUCGUCAUCGGAAUGCCAAGACACAUAAUCAUUGUUACCGUCGUAUCGGUUUAGGACCAAGCUAUUGAAUCUACUUCCAGGACGAGCUUUAUGGACCUUCAAAAGAAACCGAUAAACCGUCAUAACAUCAAUCACUUCAAGAAAUGUGAAGACACUGAAAUAGACUUAAAAGCCGAAUCACUCGGCUAAGGAACAUUACAAGCUCAAAGGCAUCCUUACUGCAUCCAAGAUGUCCUUGAGUGGAGGGAAAUCGUCCCAAGAAUAAGCACGAGGCGAGUGCCCGUUAUAGCUAAUCGCCGGCAAUCCUUCCGCCGCUACAUAACACGAAUCUCUGGGCUGCAAAAGACCAUCCCAUUUACAUUCAGAACGAAAAGAACCCGUGAACAUGGAACCAUGGUCGAAUGAGAGUGUCAAGACAAUCACUGUAGCGACAAAGAACACGUGAAAUUCAAUAAUUACGAUCUCUCAUUCAUGCUUUUCCGACCACACCAUCGAAAGCUGCCACCACCACCACCACGACACGCAGAAACGCGCGCGCGCGCGCAGUGACAGGGGAAAGACCUGGACGAGAUUGCGACCGAAGAUGCGGAGAGUGGGUCGGGACCAAGGGACGUGCUUGUUGAGGUAAUCAAACCAUGCCCACGACUGCUCCGCCGGGAAGAAGCGGGGCACGUGGAAGACCUCGCUCCCAUGCCCAAGAUCGAAGCUUUUCCCCUUCCGCACGCUCUCGGUCGGGUCGAACUCCGAAGGGCUCGACGUCGACGGUGCCGGGUCGGCGUUCGCCGUCAGUUUGCGCAUCAAGCUGUUCAUGUCUCGCCGCCGCCGGAGCUUCUCCGUCGCCGGCGAAGGUCACGGAGACUCGCAGAAAGUCGAGCCCUUUAGACCGGGAGAAUCAACGGUGAAUCUUCCACCGCCGCUUGCCAUUGCCAUCUCUUAUUUCUUUUUUUUGCCUUCCUAUUCCAAAGUCUUUAUUUUCCUAUACUAUGGUUGGAAAUAAUUUUCAGAAAUUUUGUUUGGAGGGCAUGAAAUAUGUUUGUACUGAUUUUCAUUUUCAUGCUUAUUUCAUGCCUAGGACAUGAGGAAUUUCUUUUUUUUUGAACGUAAGGACAUGAGGAAAUUACUUAUUACUUUUACUCAAGAAUUUGAAAAUAUAAAAAUUAGGUAUAAGUGUACUACAAAUCUUAAAACUUAUUAGAAAAGUGUAAUUAAGUCUUAAAUCUUCAAAAAGCAAAAUUAAGUCCUAAAAUUUAUAAUGAAAGUACAAUCGAGUUAUAAAACUUUCAAAAAAUGUAAUAAAGUUUUAAAAUAUUAAAUUGGAUAAGUGUAUUAAAAGUCUUAAAACUUAACAUAAUAAUGCAAUUGAAUUCUAAAAUUUUAAAAAUGUGCAAUAGUGUAAUUAAUAACUAAAUUUUGUAACAAAAGUACAAUUGAAUUCUAAAAUUUUCACCACCCGCGAGGGUGGCUCCGUUGGUAGGCUCCAGGACUUUCACGUUGGAGGCCGGAGUUCGAAGCCCCUGUGACGCUAGUGGUAGGGAGGCAAGUGGAGAUACUUGGCGACUUACUCGGGGUGCGUGGGUGGUGAUUUUCUACGUGCCUCUCCUGGAGUUUACUCCCAGCUGUCGGCUGUGCGGGGUUCCCCUAAGUCACAAAAAAAAAAAAAUCCUAAAAUUUUCAAAUUUUUACUAAAAAAAAAAAAUCCUAAAAUUUUCAAAAAGUGUCAUCAACAAAAGGUUUUGAUUUGAUUAAUUUGAUAAGUUUUAAAACUUAAUUGCACUUUUUAGGACUUGAUUGCAUUUUUGUGACAAGUUUUAGAACUUAAUUGCAUUUUUUAAAAGUUUAAGAAUUAAAUUGUACUUUGUUGACAAAUUUUAGGAGUUCUAAUGCAUUUAUCUCAUAUCAAAUUGGUUCAAUCGAGUCCUUCUAUUUAUUUAUUUAUUCAUUUUUUUGGUGACCAAACUUCUUCUAUUUAUUGUACUACUUUCAUGAUGAUUUUUUAAACUUAAUUGUAUUUUUUUUAAAUUUUAAGACUCAAUUAUACUUAACUAUAUUGUGAAAUUGCAAAUGGGCUUAAACUAUGGGUGCACGGUGGAAGACGUGCUUACUGGUUUAUCGAUGCAAUGCUGAGGUUGGAGAUCAGUCUAUUUCAAACCGGAAAGGAAUGGCUUCAUGGGAGCCGCUCCCACGACGUUGUUGCAGUCCCUAGUCCAACAUAAGCGAUGGUCCGGGGGCGAUUUUCUGAGCUUGAAUUGCCAAGAAAAGGAAAUCUUUACAAUGUGAAAAAAGAAAACUAUUUACACAGAAUCAGCUUCAGGAUGGCAAGGCCGGGCAAAUCAAGCAGUGGCGAAAGAGCUAAUCCCCCUCCAAAAACUUCUAUUUCCAUUCGAAUCGGGUGCAUGAAAAAGAUGAACCGUUUGAAGAAAAAUGCACCUCGAAUCCCAGGUUAUCUGAGACAAAGUUCGAUCAAGAAUGCCCGGAAAAUGGCUGCGACAACGGCAUCCAUACAACAUUCAUCGGCUGACUCCUGGAAAGGAAAUCGGCGUGAUGAUCUUGACAGUAUCUUCCACAAGAAAAGAAAAUUCACAAACAAGAAAGGGUCAGAGAGAGAGGGGGGGAAUUGCGGUUACCAGAUUGUUUGAAAGAACUGGUUUUUCUCUUCUUCUUUUUGGGUGUUUCUCUUGGAAGCCUUGGUUUUCGUGGGAGAGAAACCAGAGGAACAGGACAGGUAAGUCCCUCCUAUUGAACGCCGAAAGAGGAGAGGACUUCGCGGGCUUUCAUCGGUCAGCGCCAACCGCCAACCGCCAACCGCCAACCGAAACAUGUUCCUUUUUGCUCUUCGUGCAUUUGUGGUUCCCAAACGUAGGAUCAUCAGAAGAGGGGCUGAUCAUAAUUACCACUCGGAUUUGCUUUUCGUCUUUCGCCCAUCGGCAAGGCCAUUUGACAAAUCUCAGCGGCGAUUCAAUUGAGAAAUUUUUUACCCGAGCCGAAAUGUGGACUAGUGCAAUUGAUUUUGUAUUUCUAGCAUUAUCUUUAGAGAUUUUAUUCUAAAAAUUCCACAUUCCCGUUAGAAUUUGCUGACUGAUGAUCCAUAUUUUGUGAAACUGGACUAAAAUGGGUUACCACAACUCGAUUAAACUCAUGAAUUGAACUUGAGAUCACAACUCCAAGUAAGCACAUUUCCAUUGGCAACCCAGCAAAUUCUAAUGUGUGGACUGAAUUAUACCAAAUCAAAAGGACGCCAAUAGAUAUAUUGAAGAUAUCAAAUUGAAAAGAUAGCAUAACUACCUUGGAUGAGUGAAGACAUCAUAAUAAGUUUUAGCACAUUCUACGAUGACUGCAGGUGGAGAUCCAUGGAAUGGAGGAUAAUGGUGGACCUGGGUACAUUGGCACCGGGUGCUUUCAUCGGCGACAGACACUGUGUGGGAGAAAGUAUAAACGAGGACUCUGUGUACAUUUGAGUGGGAUAACCACCUGAGGAUACAAGAUAGUGCAAGUGUCCUAGAAGAAACGUGUAAACCACUAGCCAGCUGUGGUUGUGAAGAGAACACUGAGUGGGGAAAGGAGGUCUCUCUCUCUCUCUCUCUCUCUCUCUCUCUCUCUCUCUCUCUCUCUGUGUACAUUUGAAUGUCCUAACUAGCACAUAUAUCAUAAGAGCGAUAGUCACGAGUACACGCAUACACUCGAGUCAUCCUUAUGACUAACGAAAUCGAAGACCUCGAUUUGCUCAAAAGCUAGUCAAAACAUGUUAACCAAAUCAACGUUUGGCCCAAAUUUUCGAGCCUUUUGAGUAGUUUUCAAAAUUUUCUGAAAGAAACCUUAUCAAAGAAUGGAAAUGUGGGAAGAAAUUCAGCACCAUAUUCUACAGAUAACAAGAGAGCAGUGCUUUCUGUAGUCUGCUACAAACAAUAGAAAAGCAGUUUACAAGUUCAUGGAAACCGAGCUUAGAUGAUAUACAUCAAAUGUAGGGCUCCUCUGUCAUUCUGAUUAAGUUCAAAGAUUAAAGAACAAAAGCAAUUGAGCCUCUUAUAUCAUUCCGGACUUUGAUGGAACCAAAAGCUCUACUUAUAUCAUAAUUAUUCAAAGACUGGACUGGGCUAAGCAGCCAUCAGAACUGAAUUUAGGCCACACAGGCAGUCUUUCGAGCACUAGAAAUAUGCAAAUAUACACAUUCAAAAGCAUCCAUGAAAAGAGUCUUGUCUGAAUUACAGAUGGGUCUAAAGUAUGGCUGCCCAGUGGAAGAUGUCCUUACCAGUUUAGCAAUACACUAUAGAGGUUGGAGAUUGUCAUGCCCCGAUCCUCGGGCGCACGCCCAUCCCGGCUUGGUCAAUUAAAUAGCGACGUCCCAAGACACAUCGCCGAUCCUUUCAUUUUAGUAUGCAUACGGAAGCAUAUAAAUAAUCCCCAGAUAAUAAAACAAUGUGAUAGGAAAGUAGGACAAAUUUUUCACAAAAGACUUUUUUAUAAACACACAGGUUUAUACACAUAAGCCUACAAAAAGGAAUCAGCUUUCAACAAAAGAGUAGUCCUGGGACUAACUAGUCGGACAUGCUCAGCGAUUCUCCAGGCUUCACCUUCUAAACUUCGGACCUCAGGUCCUCCAAAACUUUCAAUUAAGGACCUAAAAAUGUUAUUCCACAAUGGGGUGAGACUACAACAAGUUUAACCCCCUAAAACCCGACUAGGAAGAAAAUACUCCCAAAUGGCUGCCUAAGCACAAUCACGAAUCAAAGGGCUUACCUUAGCCUCAGUACUUUCCUGCACGUCAAUAAAGAGGAAAUUUGAAUUUUCAACAAGUUCAACCGAUGGAGAUGGCCCCACAUGAUAUGCUAGUACCAUGUGGUACAUGACAGCAUUAAAGGUUCACUUAUAAACUAUCUCGAAAACAUGUAUAUCACAGAUAUAGAUCUUCCAUGGCUUUAAUGUCUUCCAAUCGUACAUAUCUAGAAUUUCGGUGCGCUUGUUACUCUUAAUUUGAGCAUAGUUGCGAAGUAUUGCAUAAUUUAAUAAUGCGAUUCAUCAUCAGGAGAUAGAGAAUUCGUCCAAAUUUCAGUUAUGGCUAAUUACAUAAAAAUUGUUCCUCCAACCACGAUGACUAAUAUAUUGCUCCAAGAAAAUUUGACUUCACUACCAUUUGGUUGAAUCACCGACUAUCAAAAAAAAAAAAAAAAAAACUAGCCACGGCCUUCUAUAUCAAUAUUGCCUAAUUGCUUCACACACUUGCCAUGCGGAGAGGAGGACAAGAAAAGAAACAAAAAAUGGGAGAGAAGAGUAAUCUUCCUCUCUUUGAAACAAAGUCAGCCAACAACCGCUUCAUCUUCAGAUUAUACACACUUUCCAUCUUCAUCAGCAUCUGCUUCAUCUUCUACUUUAGAAUCCAUCACUUGCCAGAGUCCAAAACAGCUGAGAAGUUGGCCUGGCUUGGAGCUUUCUUUUCUGAGCUCUGGUUCGCUUUUUACUGGUUUCUCACCAUCAUCGUAAGAUGGAACCCUUCGUAUCGCCACACCUUCAAGGACAGGCUUUCUCAGAGGUGCUCUCUCUCUCUCUCUCUCUCUCUCUCUCUCUCUUCUCUCUGUGAUGGAAGAAGCUAAUGUUUUUCAACCUUAUCGGUUGUGAGAAAAUAAUGUGCUAAGCAUCAAUACCUCGACAAUUUUUUCUUAGGAUACGCUCUUCAAAAAUAUAGUUGAAAUUUUCGGUAUGAUGUAUUGGCCUUAGUCUCAUAAAACCAUUACAGGAACAAACUGAACCAAGGCACUAAGGAGGAACAAAAGAAAAAACAAGUCUUUCUGGUGUAAUCGUUGUAUGAGAUUUGAAUUUAGUCUUUUACUAACGAUAUAUUCAUGAACUCUUUUAGGUACGAGGGGGUUUUUCCUGGAAUAGACAUAUUUGUGUGUACAGCAGAUCCUGUAAUAGAGCCACCAAUCAUGGUGAUCAAUACCGUCUUGUCAAUCAUGGCAUACAAUUAUCCACCGGAGAAGAUGAGCAUCUAUCUCUCCGACGACGGCGGUUCGGACCUUACUUUUUAUGCGUUACUUGAGUCUUCUCAAUUCUCCAAGAAAUGGCUUCCCUUUUGCCGGAAGUUCAAUGUUGAACCAAGAUCCCCGGAGGCCUAUUUUAGAAGUGCUGUUGAGCCUCUAAAUGAUCGUCUCUGGUCCACGGAGCUGUCCUCCAUUAAAGUAAGCACAUCUCUCUCUCUCUCUCUCUCUCUCUCUCUCUCUCUCUCUCUCUCUCACUGUGCCAUUUUUUUUAGUAAAAUAUUCAUGACUAUCAUCUAUAUGUGUGAUUUUAGCUAAAUUAGCAAUCAAAAAGCCGAUUAACUCCAUAUCUACAUGUACACUUCAACUAUACAAAAGCCUACUCUAAUUAACUAAACUAGCAACACCCAAAACACCACAUCAUGAUUGGUUUCAAGGUAGAUAAGUUCCACACCAAAUACCUGAAAUCAUCAGAGUCGGUACCUAUUUUUUGAAAACAAGAACCGAAAAAGCUGACUCUGAAAUUGACCUCAAACCGAACUAGCCAACCUUUUCUUUUUCAUCUAUUUAGUAACUCAAUCAUAUAUAUUAUGUAAUUGUAAUGUAAAAAUUUCCCAAAAAUAAACAUAAAACCGAGAACUAGAAAAGAAAGCAGAAAGUUCUUAAGAGAUUGAGGGGAAGUUCUCGGGUAAACUGAAGGUUCCCCUUAUAGAAUCAAGAACUGAACCAUUGAAGGCUGGUUCCCAAAUUUUUCACCCAGGAUCAAACUAAUCCUCAUGUACAUCGGCCCAAAACCAGUUGAAUAAGACUGAUUCAGUUCGGUUCUAGAAUGGAACCGUCCCCGUUGCUUGUAUCAACAUGUACUCUUAACCUACACAAGGCAGUUUUGUAACCUAUCCUCUCUCUCUCUUGCGCAUUUAUUCCAAAGCAUGUUGAGGCAUGCGUGCCUCAGUUUCAAAGCCUAGCAUUAGAAUAUUUGAACACAUCUCCACCUAUACGAUUGUGAGACUUUAGGGUAUGGUCCAAGGUAGACAACAAGUUUAUCAACGAUUUAAAACUAGUUUUACCAAGUCCACCAUCGAUUUAAUAUGUUGCUAGCGCAUCAAAAAACACGCAACGCGUUGCUACUUGCCAAAUAAUUUAGUCUCUGCUAGGACACAAAGCUCCCAUUUUUAAAACCCUAAGAGGUUGAAAAGAUCGCCUGAUAGGUUUCUUGAAUCUAGCGGGCUAAUUUGUGGGGAGCUAUUCAUCCUUUUCUAUUUGCGUAGUGCUAUAAGACACUGAAGACUAUGGUCCUGCACUCUUCUUCUUCUGUUCUUAGCCUUUCAAGUGCCAUUUGUCUCCUUUGGCCACCUUCUCGAAAACACGUUAGAUGAUCUGUAAACUUUACGUUGAUCAGCUCUAUCUACAUAAUUGAUGAUGUGAGCGUCAAGGUGAGACUCGCAUGAUUGAUGGUCCAAAUGAUAUCGGUUCACAUCAUUUCAUAAAUCAUGUAAUGACUUCUUUUUUGGAAUUUACCUCCUCUUUUUGGAGAUCUCACCUUCUCAGUUAUCCAAAACGUUGAAUGGUAGUUAUAUGAAAAGACUUUUAUUCGCGACGAUUCCAUUCUCACGAGAUCUGUCAGAGAGAGAAUCAUUUGUUCUCAUCGUCGUUCUCAUUGAGAACGAUGUUUAGGGCCCAUUAUAUUCAACUUCACAUGAGAGUUUCUUUUGACAAAUUCCACACUUCACUAAAAAAUAGUGGCUGGACAGAAGCUUUCAACCUUACGAUAUCGACAAAAAAAACUAAUGCCAUCUACUUGACAUCAAAUUAAUUCUUUUGUCAGCAUUGAAAGGUACAUCUUGGACGGGAUUCGAGUGUCGUGGACUCAAAUUACAAAGAUUUCUUUAAAAAAAAAAAAAAACAUUGCUUUUGUGGCCACAUAAACCAUGGUUUUGGAUUCAUUUGAAAAAUACAUUAAAAGUGUCAUAACUUUUGUAUAAAGUUCACUUUUUUUUUGUCAAUCUUACUUUAAUCCUACUCUAACACACACUCUCAGACUUUUGUCCUGCCUUGCAGGGCGAGGGAGUCGAAACCCACUUUUGAAAUAAAAUCAUCCCCAUCCCAAUCCCUCCUGAGAAUAUGGGAAUUUGAACCUCCAACCUCCAUCUUCCAAGUUGGAAAAGUAGCCACUGGGGCAAACCCCCAGUAGUUUUAUAAAGUUCACUUUGUUGUUAAAACUUAAGUGGCAAACUAGAGAAAAAAUUAUACUAAGUACCUCCAACGAUAAAUUCCUGGUCAAAAGUCCUUUUUUAAUUAAAUGUUUAUUCCUACGUGGCAUUUUAAUCAAAAAAGGCGGUACAACAUAGACAAUGAGGUGGCUGAGUUGAAGGAAAAAACGCCGCUUCAAAUCUUUUGCUCAAAAGACUGAGAUCUCUUACAAGUGACUCGCUAGCUCAAAUUACAAUUUAAAGCUCGGUUCUCGGAGGGAAAAAAUUGAAAUCUUCUGCCAGGGUUCAAUCAAAUUCAAGAUGUUCUUGGAUUUCUAAGCCCACAAUAAUAGUAAUAACCACAUUCGUCUUCACUUUAUUGGAACGAAUUUAAGCCUCUUAUCCCUCUUCUGCUCUCUAUUGCAAUAAUCAGCUCUUAAUUUUGGGGGAAACCGAUUAUGGUCUGAAAAAAUUAGGAAAAGGCUUGAUUGUUUGAAUUAGGGUUUAUAUAUGGGGUAAAAAAUGCAAAAGACGUAUGGGAUAUUAAUGCUAACUGAGCAUGGCGAUGAAUCACACUGGUCAAUGAAAUUGAUAAAAUAUUGCCAUGUCGAAUUUUUGGCAUCCAAAAUUGGAGUUAACACUAAAGUGAUCUUUUUUUUUUUUCACAAGUAGCACUUAAGUGAUAAAAAAAAAUAUCAAAGUGAACAUUGUACGAAAGUUAUGGUAUUUGUAAUGUCUUUUUUCCUAUAAGAAGUAAAAAAUAAAAAAAAAAUACUUCCAUCCAGCCAAAGAUCACUUAAAUCAAGCAAAAAAAAUGUAUAAGUUUCAUCUUGGUACUUUCAUAAAUUUUUCAUAAAAUACAGCAGAUAUUAAAUCCCAUUAAAUUCGGCUUAUAUGUAUGGAGGAUUAUGCCAAAAUAUGUUAUGGAUAAAAUAUACAGAUGCUACUAUGGACCUAUGUUGAAAAAAGUAGCCCUAGACAACGUCACAAUAUGAUGUGAAUGGAAUUUAGCCAAUACCGAUCCUGGAAAAUUUUUGUCUCUGUCAAAGCAUAACAUCGUCCAACGGCAGCGUCACAGUGAUAUUUGGCAAGAUAUAGUGUCCAAUAGACUGGGUUAAGAAAAUUGUGGAAGUAAAGGAACUUGAUUAGAUAAAUUAAAAGUGCGAUCGAAUAUUGGAUACAGGAAAGAGAUCAUUGGAAACAAUGAAGGAUUGAAUUUUAGGGACGGGAAUUCCAAAUUAAUGUAUGACAUCCCAUUCCCAAUUUCAAUCCAAGGUGACUCAUUCCACCUUCCACAUAACUGUAUGAAAUAAAUGAUAUAUAGCAAAACUUGACAGAACUUUGCCCUUGGGUUAUGCUUAUGACAGAAUUUAUACGAGGACAUGAAGAAACGAAUCGAAACAGUAGCAGAGUUGGGACGGAUUCCAGAUGACAUUCGCAAGCAACACAAAGGAUUUCUUGAAUGGGACACUGUCUUGAGCCCGAGAGAUCAUCAAACAAUUCUUCAAGUACCAUGCAUCUACUUUAAAAGAUUAACGUUCUAAUCUUUUGGCAACAUUAAUGACAUGCUUCUCCUGAUUCUUCAGAUAGUGAUCGAUGGGAGGGAUCCCAUGGCAGUGGACAGUGAAGAACAGCCUCUACCAACUCUGGUGUACUUGGCCAGAGAAAAGAGACCACGAUACAAACACCAUUUCAAAGCAGGAGCUAUGAAUGCUCUGGUAAUUCUCAACAUACCGUACUCAUACACAUGAUUCACUCAAAGCCCUAUUUUUCAUCACCAAGAAAAGUGAAGAACAUCAACUUCCACACAGAUUUUUCUAUUUAUGUAUGGGAGGAUCUUGCCCUUGGAUCGAUUUGAGGGCUUAAAAUACCAUAUUGGUGCCAAUCUUUAUGUUAUUUUUCUGAAAAAAAAAAUAGAUCAGGGUCUCAUCAAGGAUCAGCAACGCGCCCAUCAUCCUUAAUGUGGACUGCGACAUGUAUGCGAACAACAUGGACUCGGUGAGAGAUGUACUGUGCUUCUUCAUGGACGAAGAGAAUGGUGAUGAGAUUGGUUUUGUACAGUUCCCGCAGAACUUCGAUAACCUCACGACCAAUGACCUAUACAGCAGUUCCUUUAAUGUACUAAGCAAGGUAAGCCACUUCGAAAGGAUUUCAACACAACACUGUCCCUUACUGUGCUAUAUGUCAAAUGUGCUUAAUGCGCUCGCUUUAGGUUCAAUUCUAUUGAUUCUACCAGUUCCAUUAGAAUAUGCAGACUGAUACACCAUAUUUAAUAAACUGCACUAAGAUGGGUAACCAUGACUCAAUUGAACGCGUGAAGUGAACCUGAAAUCACAAGUCCAAGUCAGCACAUACCCAUUGGCAACUCAGCAAAUUCCAAUGUGUGGACUAACAUGAAGCUAAUUAAAAGGAGGCCGAUAGACUCUAUUGGACAUUUUAAAUUGAAGGGAUGGGACAAGUACAUUGGGUGCGUGAAGAUACCAUAAUGACUUUAAGUACAUUCUACCAUGAUUGCAGGUGGAGCUCCAUGGUAUGGACAAUGAUGGCGGACCACCAUACAUCGGCACCGGGUGCUUUCAUCGGAGAGAGACACUGUGUGGGAGAAAGUAUAGACAGGGAAGUAAAAGUGAGUCCUUGAGGUGGGAUCAUCACCAGAGGAUACAAGAUAGUGCAAGUGUCCUAGAAGAAACAUGUAAACCACUAGCCAGCUGUGGCUAUGAAGAGAACACCGAGUGGGGAAAGGAGGUCUCUCUCUCUCUCUCUCUCUCUCUCUCUCUCCCCCCUAAAUUUUCGACCCUUUCGAGUAUAUUUCAAAAUUUUCUGUAGAGAAACUUAGUCAAAGAAUGGAAAUAGGGGAAGAAAGCAGAGAAGGUUAAGCAUUCAGCACCAUAUUCUAUAUAUAACAAGUGAGCAGUGCUUUCUAUAGUCUACAACUAACAAGCUUGAAGCAGUUUACAAGUCCAUGGAAACAAAGCUUAUAUGAUAAACCUCUCAUGUAAGACUAUGUCAUUUUGAUUAGGUGAUGUAAGACUAUGUCAUUUUGAUUAAGUGCAAAGAACAAAAAACAAAAGCAAAUGAGUCUCUUAUAUCAUUCCAGAUUUUGACGCAACCAAAAGCUCUGCUUAUAUUAUAUUAUUCAAAGACUGGACUGGAAAUUCAGCCAUUGGAACUGAAAUAUGCUACACAGGCAUGCUUUCCAGCACUAUAAAUAUGCAAAUACACUCAUGCAAAAGCAUCCAUGAAACAAAUCUUUUCUGAAUUGCAGAUGGGUCUAAAGUAUGGAUGCCCAGUGGAAGAUGUCCUUACCGGUUUUGCAAUCCACUGCAGAGGUUGGAGAUCAGUCUAUUUCAACCCCGAAAGGAAAGGCUUUCUAGGAGUUGCUCCCAUGACAUUGUUGCAGUCCCUAGUUCAACAUAAAAGAUGGACUGAAGGUGAUCUCCAAAUCUUCCUGUCACAGUACUGUCCUCUGUUGUAUGGACAUGGCAAAAUCCCCCUGAAGCUGCAACUCUCGUAUUGUGUCUACUUGCUAUGGGCGGCAAAUUGCUUGGCUUCUCUGUUCUAUGUAACUAUUCCAUCUCUCUGUCUACUCAGAGGCAUCUCCUUGUUCCCCAAGGUAAUUAAUUAGAUGACUUUCUUUUGUGAGAAAACUAAUUCUGAUGCCUCAACCUUCCACAGGUAUAAAUAAAUGUACACGUAACAUUGGUCCUAGAGCUAAAAUCUCAAAACAAUCAAGUCAUUAAACAUUAGAUAAAUUCCAGCUAUACCCCCUCCAUUAUAGUAGCACUACACUGACACCACCCAAAAAGUGUCAAAAGCAAGCACUUAUAACUUGUGCUAGCCAUUUAAUCAACCCUGAUUUGGCCACUUGACAGUGUAAAACACUUGACUAUGAUAUAACCAUAGUGCAGGGGCAUCCACAUAAUCUUUGCUUUAAAAUGUCCUUUGCUACAGCUAAUAGCUUCUUGCACCAUCAGGUUUCAAGUCAGUGGAGCUACCCAUUCAUCUAUACCAUUAUGGCAACUAGUGCAUACAGUGCUGGAGAAUUCGUAUGGUGUGGAGGCACUCUUCGCGGUUGGUGGAAUGACCAAAGGAUGUGGCUCUAUAAGAGAACAGCUUCCUAUUUCUUUGCCUUCUUCGACAACAUUCUGAGGCUGCUGGGUACUUCCAAGUCUGCCUUUGUCAUCACUGCGAAAGUGGCAGACAAUGAUGUAUCAAAGAGGUAUGAGCGAGAGCUUAUGGAGUUUGGUGCACCCUCUCCUAUGUUCACAAUCCUAACUACCCUUGCUUGUCUCAAUGCGUUGAGCUUUAUUGGAGUUUUACUGAAGUUAGCAGUGCAUGGUCAGACUCCAGACCAGCUGGCUAUGCAGAUCAUAUUGUGCGGUUUGCUGGUCUGUGUCAACCAGCCUCUAUAUGAAGGUAUUUUCUUACGAAAAGACAAGGGAAAAAUGCCCACUUCAGUGGCAUAUAAAUCUGCAGUCUAUGCUCUAGUAGCCUGUUCUUUAGCCUAUGUAUAAUCUACCAUGCACUGUAUUGGCUAGAAGUUGCCGAAACUUCAUGAAUAUUUAUAUCACACACUAGACAUGAUACAAAGUAGGAUGCCCUCAGGAAGGACCUGAUGUGAAAAACUUUCUGCUGCUAUUGCUCUGUCCUAUUUUGUGUAGUCUUUAUCAUUCCUAUUAUUGCCAUCUCAAUGUUAUUAUUGUAUUGUUCAAUCAAAGCGAAAAUGUUGAGACCUCGUUCUUCAUACCUAGAGAAUCACCAAACAUCUCUUAGUUUGCCAGAUACAUUUUCUAGAAAAAAAAAAUAGACCAAUUGCGGAAGUACGAGAAGCCAUAUACUACAAGGCGAUCAUUUAACAGAGGUAUUGACAGACUAAAUAUAGCUAUGGAAUAAAAAAUCACGACUUCAAGUUCUUGAUAUUAGCCAAAAUGAAGACAGAGCAACCUAAGUCAAUUUAACACCUGUAGGAUGAAACUUAUAAACACAUGCUGCUCUGGUUCCACUUCCUUCACACUUUGACACAUACAGAAGCAGUCGCCAUAGACAGUUGCUUUCUCAAAACUUGUUGACAGCCAAGCCAACAUCUAACAGGAGCAGAGAAAAAUGAUUAUGUG